AAGAUAAGAGCUUCUCAGCAUAGCCAAGGAGACUGCCUAUAACAUCAUGUAUAUCCAUGUAUGUAUAUGGCUAUAUGCUAUAUAUAUGCAUAUAGGCAAGUCAUCCUUGGCUACCAGAGAGCAAGCCAUUAUCU
This is a microRNA precursor of Zostera marina, 134 nucleotides long. Lineage: Eukaryota; Viridiplantae; Streptophyta; Magnoliopsida; Alismatales; Zosteraceae. The record is from Rfam.